UACAGAGGUCUCAAGCGUUGUUCGGAUUCACUGGGCGUAAAGGGUGCGUAGGUGGUGAGGUAAGUCGGAUGUGAAAGCUCCAAGCUCAACUUGGAAAUGGCAUUGGAAACUACCUUGCUAGAGGGUUUGAGGGGGGACUGGAAUACUUGGUGUAGCAGUGAAAUGCGUAGAUAUCAAGUGGAACACCAGUGGCGAAGGCGAGUCCCUGGAAAACUCCUGACACUGAGGCACGAAAGCUAGGGGAGCAAACGGG
RNAcentral lists this ribosomal RNA (253 nucleotides) under uncultured bacterium. RNAcentral describes it as "partial 16S ribosomal RNA". It matches the Rfam family "Bacterial small subunit ribosomal RNA", at positions 524 to 776 of the family's 1533-position model. The record is from RNAcentral.